AGUGAACACUGGCGGUAGACCUAACACAUGCAAGUCGAACGGCAGCACAGUAAGAGCUUGCUCUUACGGGUGGCGAGUGGCGGACGGGUGAGGAAUACAUCGGAAUCUACUUUUUCGUGGGGGAUAACGUAGGGAAACUUACGCUAAUACCGCAUACGACCUACGGGUGAAAGCAGGGGAUCUUCGGACCUUGCGCGAUUGAAUGAGCCGAUGUCGGAUUAGCUAGUUGGCGGGGUAAAGGCCCACCAAGGCGACGAUCCGUAGCUGGUCUGAGAGGAUGAUCAGCCACACUGGAACUGAGACACGGUCCAGACUCCUACGGGAGGCAGCAGUGGGGAAUAUUGGACAAUGGGCGCAAGCCUGAUCCAGCCAUACCGCGUGGGUGAAGAAGGCCUUCGGGUUGUAAAGCCCUUUUGUUGGGAAAGAAAAGCAGCAGGUUAAUACCCCGCUGUUCUGACGGUACCCAAAGAAUAAGCACCGGCUAACUUCGU
RNAcentral lists this ribosomal RNA (491 nucleotides) under uncultured bacterium. Its description in RNAcentral is "partial 16S ribosomal RNA". It matches the Rfam family "Bacterial small subunit ribosomal RNA", at positions 29 to 506 of the family's 1533-position model. The record is from RNAcentral.